This 581-nucleotide ribosomal RNA is filed under the name uncultured eukaryote. RNAcentral describes it as "eukaryotic LSU rRNA". The stretch from base 187 to 340 matches the Rfam family "5.8S ribosomal RNA". The record is from RNAcentral.
AGUCGUAACAAGGUCUCCGUUGGUGAACCAGCGGAGGGAUCAUUAUCGAGUUAUUCAACUCCCAAACCCUAUGUGAACUUACCACUUGUUGCUUCGGCGCGCGCUUCGGCGCCGCCGAGGACACUUAAACUCUUUGUUUUUAUAAGCAUUUCUGAGUGGCCGAAAGGCAAAAAUACAAAUGAAUCAAACUUUCAACAACGGAUCUCUUGGUUCUGGCAUCGAUGAAGAACGCAGCGAAAUGCGAUAAGUAAUGUGAAUUGCAGAAUUCAGUGAAUCAUCGAAUCUUUGAACGCACAUUGCGCCCGCCAGCAUUCUGGCGGGCAUGCCUGUUCGAGCGUCAUUUCAACCCUCGAGCCCGACUCUUUUGAGGACGGCUCGGCGUUGGGGGACGGCAGACUCCCCCCGGCAUCUCGCCGGGGACGCCGCCCCCGAAAUCUAGUGGCGGCCCUCCGAGGCGACCUCUGCGUAGUAACUUGUUCUCGCACCGGAAAGCUCAGAGCGGCCACGCCGUAAAACCCCAACUUUUUUCAGGUUGACCUCGAAUCAGGUAGGACUACCCGCUGAACUUAAGCAUAUCAAUA